UUCAAGUUAUUACUUUCUCGAAGACUUCAUACACAACUUAAGGAAGAAGAAUGGUACUAAUAAAUCAUGUACAAUAGUAGAUGAAGUACAUGAUGAAUUUAAAAAAAAAAUGAAAAAUAACUUUAGUUUUCGCCUCCUCAUGUUCAAAUCCUGACUCCGUCCCCUGAUCAUACCUAGGCUAGGCACAAGACACCACGAGCUCCUCCGUCAAGAAGAGGCUGGAACUCCGGCAACAUUAUUGUCGUCGCCACCAACCAAACGCCCGGGCCAUGCAUGGCAUGUGACACGCAGGAACGGAGUAAGUACCGUGCAUGGCAUGCACACAUUGAGACCGUUUCUAGUCCUCCUUCAGUAAAGAAAAUAAGACACUUCCUCCGUUUAAAAAUAAAUAUGAUUCACUUAGUAUAAAAUUUAUACUAGUUUAGUUAUAAACUUAUAACAUUUAUUUUGGAACGAAAGGAGUGUUUCUUACCAUUGUUGUGUCGGCAGUGACCGACUCAACCGGGA
This 507-nucleotide long non-coding RNA is filed under the name Hordeum vulgare. RNAcentral describes it as "long non-coding RNA (HVUL_LNC006135)". Lineage: Eukaryota; Viridiplantae; Streptophyta; Magnoliopsida; Poales; Poaceae. The record is from RNAcentral.